Molecule: ribosomal RNA, 301 nt
Filed under: uncultured bacterium
Lineage: Bacteria
Description: partial 16S ribosomal RNA
Rfam family: Bacterial small subunit ribosomal RNA
Source: RNAcentral
CAGUCGCCGCGGGAAAACGUAGGUGGCAAGCGUUGUCCGGAAUUAUUGGGCGUAAAGGGCUCGCAGGCGGUUUCUUAAGUCUGAUGUGAAAGCCCCCGGCUCAACCGGGGAGGGUCAUUGGAAACUGGGAAGCUUGAGUGCAGAAGAGGAGAGUGGAAUUCCACGUGUAGCGGUGAAAUGCGUAGAGAUGUGGAGGAACACCAGUGGCGAAGGCGACUCUCUGGUCUGUCACUGACGCUGAGGAGCGAAAGCGUGGGGAGCGAACAGGAUUAGAUACCCCAGUAGUCCCUGUCUCUUAUAC